GCCGCGGUGGCAUCCCCCGUCCUCCGGCCGUUUGAACCCGUGACCCCCGCCGCAUCGCUGCGGCUCCCCCGCACGCGCGUUCUGGAGCCGCCCCUCAGGACGUGGGCCAAGGAGGCCGCCUGAGCGAGCCCGGCGCUGUCCCCGUUCUCCGGGCGCCUCACUCCCUUCGCGCCCCUCCGGUCGCCACAGACGACCCGCUCACCCCUCCCCGGGUUUUCUGCGGUUGCCUGCAGCCGGGAGGAGCAAGUGCGUGGGCUCCGGGCUCCCUCUCACCGGUUGUGCGGGUAAACGAGCCAGGACGGAUGUGGAAUGCCUGGAGGCGGUGGAGUACAAGAAUUUUAUGCUGAUCAUAAACCUGAAUCCGAAGUGCUGUGAACAAGCUGAACCAACAUCAAACACAGAAUAAGAAAUUUUCUCUCGUCUGGAAUAUCUGUCACAAAACAAAGAUCAAAUCUAUUGGAUAAG
Vicugna pacos (alpaca) is the source of this 465-nucleotide non-coding RNA. The record is from RefSeq and is a predicted model, not a curated record. Lineage: Eukaryota; Metazoa; Chordata; Mammalia; Artiodactyla; Camelidae.